RNAcentral lists this long non-coding RNA (6137 nucleotides) under Homo sapiens (human). RNAcentral's name for it is "non-protein coding LINC01116:11". The record is from RNAcentral. Lineage: Eukaryota; Metazoa; Chordata; Mammalia; Primates; Hominidae.
CUCUCGCCCGUGACAUUUUCUCCAAAUCGGAAGAAAAUCAAGUGUAUGUCGAGCUUUGCCGCAGGCAGCCCUUGGUCUCCGCUUUCAGAUUCGGGGUCCGGGAGCGGAGCGCCCUGCCCGCGGCGGUGCUAAACUCUGGGGCCAGGGUGUGGCCCUCAGCGAGCGCCCUGGGACUGGCCGCCCCGCCGAAGGAUGCCGAGGAUCGGGCAAGGCCGGCGUCCGGUCUGCGCGGGGCGCGGGUGCUCUCCGAAGGCCGCGAGCCACGGGCCUCGCUGCGGGUUCAAGUGCGUCCGGGUUUGGACGUCGCGGCUCCAGGAGUGUGCUCUCUCUCCUGCCCAUCCCCUCCCCGGAGUUCAGCGCAUCCGGGGCCCCGGGGACCCCUCUUCCCGGCCCUCCUGGCCGCGCUGGCCCGCCCGCAUGGGGCCGAGGUUCCUGGCCGACGCGCGAGGGCGCGGGCGGGUACCGGGUUCCCGUUUUUCCCAGGCCCCGAUCCCCGCCCACGCACGAGGCCCCCGGCCCACGCACGAGGCGCCCACGCCCAUCGUGGAGGCUCCGCCUGGAAAAGAAGUCCGACUUCCUCUCCAAGCUGCUCCGAGGGGAAUGGGGAAUCGGCAGGAAAUGACCCGAACUGCCAGCCUGCGCCUUUGCAGCCGGCCCUCGCUUUGCUGAAGACGAGCAGCUCCCACCAAAGUCUUGCCUCCCCUUACCCCGAAAGCCCCGCUCAGUUCAAUAUUUCAAGUGAAAAUCUGCCUGUUCGAAAAGAAAAUAUUCACAAAUGAGCAGUGUAUUAGAAGACAACUGAAUUGCUUCUAAGAAUGGUGGGGUCUCACUCUGCCAUCACCCAGGCUGGAGUGUGGUGGCACCAUCAUGGCUCACUGCAGCCUUGAACUCCUGAGCUCAAGUCAUCCUCCCACCUCAGCCUUCCGAGUAGCUGGAACUGCAGGUGUGAGCCACCAUGCCUGGCUGAUUUGUCUUUUUAAAUUUUUUAUAGAGACCGAGUCUCAACUAUAUUGUCCAGGCUGGAAAAGAACUUCUUUCCCUCCAAGUGAUAACCUUUUCCAGACAAGUCAGCUUAAAAACUGACCCAAAGGCCCUGAAGUACACAGUUUUCUUGGAGAAAGAAAAAAAUAAGUGAAAAGGACUUGCUGACUUGCUAAUUCAUUUUGGGGCCUGUGGGUAACAUCAGAAUGGCAAAGCACUUGGGGCUUUUUUCUAAUUUGUAUUUUUUUAAUCUUCUGAGAAAUGACUUUUAUAUGCCAAGAUUCAUUCCAUGAUUAGUUUUUAUGACCAAGUUAUGAACGCUUUUGAAUAUGGGGACCUAGAAUAGAAAUGCUAACCUACCUGCAAGGAGAGCUCUGUGAUUGGCAUCCCCAUCAUGCUGUAACUGACACAAAAUAAACUUAGGGUAAUUGCCGCAUAGUGUAACUUUAAUGUGUGAGCAUACUGUAACAUCUGACAAGCUUCUUGAUCUAGAUCAGCAAUGUGUAACCCAUUCAUUGUUGUCACUCUCAACAAGGCCUUAUGGUCAAACAUCAUCACUCUCACUAAAGAGAUAGUUUACUGAAAUAUACUGAGAUUUUGAAACUGGAGUCAAGAGGUAGCACACUGUUUUAUGUUGAUCCAUUUAAUGGUCCUUGACAGCCAAUAAAAAGACACUGGAAGAAUACGUGAAUGCAGUAAUUGUUAAUAGGUCUAUUGAUAAUAUUUUCAACACCAGGUAGGGAGGGAGACAGGGAGGAGGAGGAAAGGAAGGAAGGGAGGAAAGGAGGAAGGGAGGAAGGGAGGGAGGGAGGGAGGAAGGGAGGGAGGGAAUGCUCUGACAUCUUACUCCAGAAAUAGAGCUGUUUUUAUAUAUUUUACUCCAUUAUUUUGGAUAUCAAUACUGACCAUACUGAGGUCUGUGGUCAUUUACACAGUUGGCCAAAUUUCACUGAAGUUUGUUUUUCAGAUUCUACUAGGUGUUUUCAUGUGGCAGUUGCCUAAUUUUUUACUAUAUUUAAGAUUUGUCCUUACGUUUUGGAUAUUCUGCCUUUGUUCUUCACAAAUGCUCAACUGUCAUAGAGGGUCUUCUGAUUUUUUUGGCAUGGGGUCACUCAACUAAAUUAUAGCUAGAUAAUAACUCCAAAGCCUAGUUCUCCUGGCUUUCCCUGCUGACCUACUCAUGUCCAGAUGUUCUCAUUUAUAAAGUGUGAGUCUUUGAAGAGUCAUUCUAAGAUUGCAGACUGCCAGGUUAUAUUCAAUACUCUGGACCUAAAUUAUUUGAUACAUUUUGGAAGAACCUGGUAGGUAGUGAGGAGGUGGGUGGGGUAUGGAGUCUUUGUUAGUCAGGAAAGAACAUUCUACUUGGGUUACUAAGGUAUCAGAUUAUUCAGUAAGGUAGACCAUUAAGAGCUAAGUUGCAUGGUGUGCACCUUAGUGCUUUAGGAAAUCAAAGGAAAGAAAUACCAAUGAGGACAGAAAGAGUUCUCCAGAGGAAGUAGACUGCAACUGUAUUUGUGAAGGAUGAGUGGCUGUGGAUGGAAGAAAAGAACAUUUUCAGUAAGGGGACAUGGUGGGUGAAAUGCUGAGGCAGGGAUGGGCUCAGUGUUCCCAGAGCUGUAAGGACCCCAAGAAAAUUUCACUUGUACUCUAUGUGCUUACUAUUUUUGUCUGUCCAGAGUGAAUCAGUUCUCCUAGAGACAGAUUUGACAGUCUGCACACAUUGAGAUCUGUUUCAUUUUAACUUUUCUUCUUGCUUCUCUCAAAUCUGGCUAAAAUACUAUUCUGGUCAUGUCAUUUUCCUGCUUCAGACCCCUCUAUGGCUCCCUGUUGCUCAGUCUCCUGAAGAUUUCAUGCCAGAUCUUUGCAUCCACCCCGCUCCCCCUGCCACCUUGAGCUUCAUUUAACAUCUGGACCCUUCUCACUUCUUGCGUCCCAGCUCCAGCCACCUGGAACUGGCAACUGCCAUACUCUCUCUUGCCUCUGGCCCCUCACAUAAAGCUCAGGUGUUGGUUUAAACAUCACUUCCACAGGAAGACCGGAUUAGGCUCCACUGCUAUUCCUUCUCACCCCUGCAGUGACCCCUUUCUUUUUUUUUUUUUUUUUUUUGUAUAGACAGCCAUUUUCAAGUUCAAACUCAUGAUCUUGGAGACACUUAGAUUUUCUCACAAAUUAUUUGCACAUUUUUAAUAGACUAUUUUUUAGGUAAUUUUACAUUCACAGCAAAGUUGAGGGGAAGGUACAGAGAUCUCACAUAUGCCCCUGCCACUCCCCAUGUUAUCAACACCCCCCACCAUCAACAUCCCCUACCAGAGUGGUACAUUUAAAACAAUUCAUGGACCUACAUGAACAUAUCAUUAUCACUCAAAGUCCAUAGUUUACAUCAGGAUUCAUUCAUAGUCUAUGGGUUUGGACAAAUGUAUAAUGACAUAUAUCUACCAUUAUUGUAUCAUACACAGUAGUUCCACUGCUUAAAAAAAAAAAACUCCUCUAUGCUCCAUCUAUUCAUCACUCACUGUCCCUAAGCACUGGAAACCACUGGUCUUUUUACUAUCUUCAUGGUUUUGCCUUUUCCAGAAUGUCAUAUAGUUGGAAUUAUUAUAGUAUAUAGCCUUUUUAGAUUGGCUUCAUUCACUUAGUAAAAUGCAUUUAACUUUGUUCCACAUCUUUUCAUGGCUUGAUAGCUAUUUUUAGUACUGAAUAAAUAUUUCAUUGUCUGGAUGUCCUCAAGCUUAUUUAUCCAUUCACAUACUGAAGGACACCAUGGUUGCUUCCAAAUUUCGGGAAUUGUGGAUAAAGCUGCCAUAAACAUCUGUAUGCAGGUUUAUGUGUGGACACAUUUUAAUUACUUAAAUAUCUGCCAUCCUCAUGAGACAUAAACUCCUUGCAAUGAAAAACCAUAUUUGACUUGAUCAGUUGUGACCAGCAGAGAACCUGGACCCUAUUCAUUCAUUCAUUCAUUCAAAAAUUUAUAUUAAAUACUUGUCAUGUGCCCUAAUGCAACAGAGAGCAAAACAAACAAAAAUUCUGUCCUCACAUUCUGCCUGGGAAGAUCAACACUAAAAUGAGCCAAAACUAAAAAAUACAGUAUGUAUAUAUUUAUAGUAUAGCAAUAAAUAUGUGGGAGAAAUAUAAAGCAAGGAAGGAGAACAGAAAGUGCCGGGUGCAAGGCGAACUUUAGACAGAGCGGCCAGGGGAGGCCUCACUAAGAGGAUGACAUUUGAACAAAGACCUGGAGGAAGCAAGGACGAGUCAUGCAGAUAGCUGGAGAGGAGCCAUCAGACUGAAGAAACAGCAAGUGCAAAGUCCCUGUCCUGCCGUGUGCCCUGGCACGUUAAGCAGGUCACUUGGGCUGAAGCAGAAAGAGCAAGGAGAGGGGAGUUAGGAAUUGAAGUCAGAAUCCAGGGCAGGCUCCAUCCUGGCCUCACUGUCCACCUUCCAGCAGAUGUGGAUCAGCAAGCGGGAAUACGAGUCCAGCCCCUCCGCUGUCCGCUGCAAAUGCCUCUAGGCAGACUGUUACUUAGUUGCGUUAUACCCUUUCUUGCCAAAACCUAUCUAUGGGCAAAAAACAAGAUUGGCAAGGCUUUUGUUUUGUUUUGUUUUUGGAUUGACUCAGGAUUUAAAAAAACUAGACCGAUGAAGGUGACAGCAGUCAGUUGGAGUGAGCAUCCCCCAAAGUUCUGCAAUGUGUCUGAGGACUUUGAUUAAUCUUUUUUUAAGUCAUUCCAAAUAUCGUGAGAUGCAUUGUUACAGGAAGACGCUUGCCAUCCCCAAAACCACCCCACUUCUCUCUAAGGAGAAUGGCCCAGUCCUCUCCCGAGUCCCACACAUGGGAGGUGAUAGCAGUGCUUUCAAUGUAAAUAAGGUAAUGUAAUUUUUUUAAUCUUCAAUUUAAUACUUUUUUAUUUUGAAUGAUCAGCCAUCGUGGCCCCCCUUUUUUGUCUCCCAACUUGCGAUGUAUGAAUGCUUUUGGUCUCCCUGGGAGGGGGUGGAGGUGUGGAGGCAGCCAGGGCUUACCUGUACACUGACUUAAGACCAGUUGAAUAAAAGUGCAUACCUUAAAAAAAGAAAAAAAGAAUCAGGGGGAAAGGACAGUGGUCAUCACUUAACCAAGUGGUUGGAGAAAGACUGUUGUUUGCUGCUAUGUAAUAUGUGCACUUCAGACUGGAAGAUCCAAAUAGAUGGAUAGACUAGGUUGUGUCCUUUUCUGCUUUAAAGACUAUUUUAAAUGACAGUUUUAAUGAUUUAAAACAAUAAUGGUAACUCAACAUGGAACAAAGCUCAGCUAUCAAAAGUUCAUUAAGUAAAAGGAUCCCAACACAGUCAAGUCUUACCCAGGGAUCCUAUGCAAGAUGCAGAACAUAUGCACAUCUUUUAUUAUUAUUAUACUUUAAGUUCUAGGAUACAUGUGUAGAACGUGCAGGAUUGUUACAUAGCUGUACACGUGCCAUGAUGGUUUGCUGCACCUACCAACCCAUCAUCUACAUUAGGUAUUUCUCCUAAUGCUAUCCCUCCCCUAGCUCCCCACCCCCCGACAGGCCCCAGUGUGUGAUAUUCCCCUCCAUGUGUCCAUGUGUGCUCACUGUUCAACUCCCACUUAUGAUUGAGAACAUGCGGUGUUUGGUUUUCUGUUCUUGUGUUGGUUUGCUGAGCAUGAUGGUUUCCAGCUUCAUCCAUGUCCCUGCAGAGGACAUGAACUCAUUCUUUUUUAUGGCUGGAUAAUAUUCCAUGGUGUAUAUGUGCCACAUUUUCUUUAUCCAGUCUAUGAUUGAUGAGUAUUUGGGUUGGUUCCAAGUCUUUGCUGUUGUGAACUGUGCUGCAAUAAACAUACACAUGCAUGUGUCUUCAUAGUAGAAUGACUUAUAAUCCUUUGGGUAUAUGCCCAGUAAUGGGAUUGCUGGGUCAAAUGGUAUUUCUGGAUCUAGAUCCUUGAGGAAUUGCCACACUGUCUGCCACAAUGGUUGAACUAAUUUACACUCCCACCAACAGUGUAAAAGUGUUCCUGUUUCUCCACAUCCUCUCCAGCAUUUGUUUUCCUGACUUUUUAAUGAUCCAUUCUAACUGGCAUGAGAUGGUAUCUCAUCGUGGUUUUGAUUUGUAUUUCUCUAAUGAUCAGUGAUGAUGAGCUUUUUUUCAUGUGUUUGUUGGCCGCAUAAAUG